Chenopodium quinoa (quinoa) is the source of this 2487-nucleotide long non-coding RNA. RefSeq lists it as uncharacterized. The transcript has 5 exons. The record is from RefSeq and is a predicted model, not a curated record. Lineage: Eukaryota; Viridiplantae; Streptophyta; Magnoliopsida; Caryophyllales; Amaranthaceae.
AACCUCAAAGAUAUCCAUACAAUUUCCUUUCCCCCUAAAGCGUUAUCAAUUCUCCAAGUAGCAUAUUUCCUUUCACACUGAAUUAUUUGCCUUAAAUUGUAAAUCAAAUAUGCAAAGCUAAAUAAGAAAAUAAUCACAAUUGAUGAACACUGAUUUAAUCGUCAAAUAUAACUACAAAAUGAGCAAAAAAAAAAAUUACAAAAUCCCUAUAAAAAAAAUCAGUUAAUUGAUACUUACCUUUUUCGUUCAUAGGUAACAACCUAUAGAGUUUGAUGUAUCAUUCAAAGCUUCGAUGGUAAAAUCCAUUUCAAUUCGCGAUUUCUAGUAAUAGGUGAAGAUUCAAGCCGAAAUUCAAAGAUAACAAAAGUAAAGCAAAAAUAAAACUAAAAUCAACUUAAUAACUACUGAAUAAACGAAAAUCAAACUAAAAUAAACGAAAAACACAAAGUAAAACAUAAGCGAAACUCAUCUUGGCGAAGAAUUGAAGAAGUUUGAAGAAGAAUAAGAGCAAAUAGCAGAGAGAAAGAGAGCAGAGAUACCUGAGAAUUGAGAAAUUGAAGUAGGAGAGAGAAAAUAACUUGCAAAAUGAAGGAGGAGAGAGAAAACGCUGAUUUUUUUUUUUUUUUUUUGAAAUUAUGUUUGACCGGGAUAAAUGGUAGCCAUUGGAUGCAAUUGAUCCAACGGUUGUAAUAUGUCCUCACAUAUACCAGGUUCUCACAUAAGGGAUGUGUUCUUACAUGAUCCCAUUUAUAUAUGGGUCGGGAUCCGGUGAGAACCGCCCUUUAUGUGAGAACCACCAUCUAUAUGAGAACCAAUACCAACCGUUACAUUAUAAUGAAAUUCAACAGCUACGAUUAAAAUACAAAGCUGCCAAAUACCUCCACUCCAUUCUCACGGGUCCUCCUUUCUUCCUUAUCUCUCCUCCUCUCUACUCUCACGUUCUCUCUCCUCUCCAUUCUCGUCUCCUUUCUCUCCUUUCUCUCUCCUCCUCUCCAUUUUCAUCUCACGCAUCUCUCCUCUCCAUUGUCUUUGAAGCUUCAGAAGCGGCUCGCCGCCGAUAUUCUCAAGUGUGGUCGUGGUAAGGUUUGGCUUGAUCCUAAUGAAGGCAAUGAAAUCUCCAUAGCUAACUCUCGUACUUUCUUUCUCUCUUCUUUCAUUUCAAUUUUCUUCACUUGUCUUUUUGUUUUGGUUAUUUUCAAUCAAUCGUCAGAUUUUACAAAUGACGAUAUAUCUGCAAAUUUCGGUUUUAAUUUUGGAAGAAAUUAUUUAAUUGAUCAAGUUGAAUGAUUUACUUCGUAUUAUGAACAAGAAAUUAUUUAAUUUCGAUUUUUUUGGUCUAUCUUUGUUCCGUUUUUUAUUGUUUUGUUGCUUUCGAUUUUAAUUUCAUCUUAUUUCUGUUCAAUUUUUUUUGUAUGAUUAUUCAACUCGUUUUUUUGUUUGAUUAUCUACUUCCAAUUUUUUGAUAUUUCGUCAUUAUGGUUCUUUGAAUUUUGGUUUGAUUGACAAUGGCGAGAUAAUCUCCAAUUUUAUUGAGCAUUUGUUUGUCAUUUGAUUCGACAAACAACGGAUAAGAGAAGAGACGAGUUGACAUUUUGAGAAAUUCGACAAUGUCGUCGUUGUCGGCAAUCAGCGAGGAACUCGGCGAGAUUGAUGGACAAAUCAAUGACAUUAUUCGUGCAUUAUCGUUUGCCAUUGAAGUCCGUAAUGGCGUGACCUUUCUUGACCUUAUAGUCAUGCAAAUUGAGCAAGUGUGGAUCCAAAGUGCCUUUGGUUCUGAUGAACUCAUUCAACACACAUGAUGAUACACUAAAGAUUAUUGAAAAAUAUACCGAUUCAAAUGUUGAGAUUCAUACGUUUAAUGAGGUUUGUUACUUUAGUUGAGUUCAUGUCUCUUGUUUUAAGUACUACAGUGUGAUGCUGUGGAUUAUUAAUUCCACAUCUUUGAUUAUUACUUUACCUUAUAAUCAGCUUUGAUGGGGCACUUGGUUGCCUACUGUUGCUGGGAAAAUUGCUUAACUUUUCAAAGCUGAAAUCCUAGCAAUAUUCAAAAGGCAAAGAUUCCUGAAAACUUGAUGAUAUAUUGAGCUUUACCAGCUUUUGCUUCCUUUUUCAGCUUGACCAAACUAAUGCAUAUUGGUCAUUUGUAACUUGGGGAUGGUUAGUGUUGCAAGUUAAAAAUCAAUAUGUUUCCAUUGAGUUGCAUAUGGGCUGGUAUUCAAUUUUUGGAUUGGAUACACUUUUAGCUCUUCCUUUCCUGAGCAUUUCUACUAUGUUCCUGCUUAUACUAUGCACUUGGUAUGGCUGCAUUGAAGAUUAAAAAUCUAUUAACUAGCUAAGUGCAUAUUCUUGUGCUGAUCUAAACAUGUAUUAACACAAAAAGGUUUUAUGUAUGAACCCUGUAUUUGUGUUGUCUUUCAUCUGUUCAUUUUAUAUGGAAUCACCACUGUAUGCUGUUUAUACAGUGGUGUUGAUGUAGUUUACAAUGGA